AUUGAACGCUGGCGGAAUGCUUUACACAUGCAAGUCGAACGGCAGCACGGGGGCAGCCCUGGUGGCGAGUGGCGAACGGGUGAGUAAUACAUCAGAACGUGCCCGGUCGUGGGGGAUAACGUAGCGAAAGUUACGCCAAUACCGCAUACGAUCUGAGGAUGAAAGCGGGGGACCUUCGGGCCUCGCGCGAUCGGAGCGGCCGAUGUCAGAUUAGGUAGUUGGUGGGGUAAAGGCCUACCAAGCCGACGAUCUGUAGCUGGUCUGAGAGGACGACCAGCCACACUGGGACUGAGACACGGCCCAGACUCCUACGGGAGGCAGCAGUGGGGAAUUUUGGACAAUGGGCGCAAGCCUGAUCCAGCCAUUCCGCGUGCAGGACGAAGGCCUUCGGGUUGUAAACUGCUUUUGUACGGAACGAAAAGGCUCUGGCUAAUACCUGGGGCUCAUGACGGUACCGUAAGAAUAAGCACCGGCUAACUACGUG
This 484-nucleotide ribosomal RNA is filed under the name uncultured bacterium. RNAcentral's name for it is "partial 16S ribosomal RNA". It matches the Rfam family "Bacterial small subunit ribosomal RNA", at positions 30 to 507 of the family's 1533-position model. The record is from RNAcentral.